RNAcentral lists this ribosomal RNA (679 nucleotides) under uncultured bacterium. RNAcentral describes it as "bacterial SSU rRNA". It matches the Rfam family "Bacterial small subunit ribosomal RNA", at positions 97 to 811 of the family's 1533-position model. The record is from RNAcentral.
GGCACCCGGGUGAGUAACGCGUGGGAACCUUCCUAGUAGUACGGAAUAACUUCGGGAAACCGAAGCUAAUACCGUAUACGCCCUUCGGGGGAAAGAUUUAUCGCUAUUAGAUGGGCCCGCGUCGGAUUAGCUAGUUGGUGAGGUAAUGGCUCACCAAGGCGACGAUCCGUAGCUGGUCUGAGAGGAUGAUCAGCCACACUGGGACUGAGACACGGCCCAGACUCCUACGGGAGGCAGCAGUAGGGAAUAUUGGACAAUGGGCGAAAGCCUGAUCCAGCCAUGCCGCGUGAGUGAAGAAGGCCUUAGGGUUGUAAAGCUCUUUUGGCGGGGAAGAUAAUGACGGUACCCGCAGAAUAAGCCCCGGCUAACUUCGUGCCAGCAGCCGCAGUAAUACGAAGGGGGCUAGCGUUGUUCGGAAUCACUGGGCGUAAAGCGCACGUAGGCGGACUUUUAAGUCGGGGGGGAAAUCCCGGGGCUCAACCUCGGAAUUGCCUCCGAUACUGGAAGUCUCGAGUCCGGGAGAGGUGAGUGGAAUUCCUAGUGUAGAGGUGAAAUUCGUAGAUAUUAGGAGGAACACCGGUGGCGAAGGCGACUUCCUGGCACUAUACUGACGCUGAGACGCGAGAGCGUGGGUAGCAAACAGGAUUAGAUACCAUGGUAGUCCACGCCGUAAACGAUG